Molecule: long non-coding RNA, 710 nt
Organism: Athene cunicularia (burrowing owl)
Lineage: Eukaryota; Metazoa; Chordata; Aves; Strigiformes; Strigidae
Exons: 4
Source: RefSeq, a predicted model, not a curated record
GGCGGCGGGGGGAGGCGGCUGCGGGCCCGGGGUGUCCCUCUGAAACCACCCGUGAUGGCGAAGGGUGCCGGAGCGGCCUGUGGGAGGGGGCGGCCGGCCCGGUGCCCUUCUCGGGAAGCAACCGGCCCGCGGGCACGGCUGUCACCGUGUGUGCUUAAAAACGGUCGCUCUCCUCAAGUGGCAAUGCAAUGAGGACAGUGCACAGGGCUAGAAACGGGUUUAGGUCUACUUAGGAACCACUGAACACCUACCCCGGCUCCCCCCAGGAAUUUCAAGCAGCCACAGCUCUGCCCGUGGCCAGGGCCCUUUAAAGCAUCUCCAAACGCCAGCUGCGAGAGCAGGCACCAAGCCGGAGGAGCGGACCAGCAGCUAGGAACCACGGAAAUGCAGCCAGAGCAGCGGUGCCUUUAGCACAACCCACACACACACACCGGAGCGGUGUGCCCCAGCGCAGGAUGCUGAGCAGCUCAUUAGUUACCGCACACUUGAAGAUGACUCUGGGCAAACCUGUAGAGGUCUUCGUGACAGCUGAGCGAGCAUCCAGAGAUGGCAGGUGAAACUUAUACAGCAGACAUCGAUGCUAACAGAGAUUCCUCAAAGAUCCUGGUAUUAGUAACCAGGAGCAUCCUUGAGGAGGUGUUGCUUUUCAUCCAACCUGUACCCCAGCAACACAAGAGGGAGGGUGGCAGAGCCCACCGGUUGGAUGAGAG